Molecule: transfer RNA, 72 nt
Filed under: Fibrobacter sp.
Lineage: Bacteria; Pseudomonadati; Fibrobacterota; Fibrobacteria; Fibrobacterales; Fibrobacteraceae
Description: tRNA-Lys
Rfam family: tRNA
About the family: Transfer RNA (tRNA) molecules are approximately 80 nucleotides in length. Their secondary structure includes four short double-helical elements and three loops (D, anti-codon, and T loops).
Source: RNAcentral
GGGCCAGUAGCUCAGUGGUAGAGCAACGCCCUUUUAAGGCGUGGGUCGAAGGUUCAAGUCCUUCCUGGCUCA